GGAGGGGUAGCGAAGUGGCCAAACGCGGUUGACUGUAAAUCAAUUCUCUCUGAGUACGGCGGUUCGAAUCCGUCCUCCUCCACCA
RNAcentral lists this transfer RNA (85 nucleotides) under bacterium. RNAcentral's name for it is "tRNA-Tyr". It matches the Rfam family "tRNA". From Rfam's summary of the family: Transfer RNA (tRNA) molecules are approximately 80 nucleotides in length. Their secondary structure includes four short double-helical elements and three loops (D, anti-codon, and T loops). The record is from RNAcentral.